Molecule: ribosomal RNA, 589 nt
Filed under: uncultured beta proteobacterium
Lineage: Bacteria; Pseudomonadati; Pseudomonadota; Betaproteobacteria
Description: bacterial SSU rRNA
Rfam family: Bacterial small subunit ribosomal RNA
Source: RNAcentral
ACUCCUACGGGAGGCAGCAGUGCGGGAAUUUUGGACAAUGGGCGAAAGCCUGAUCCAGCAAUGCCGCGUGCAGGAAGAAGGCCUUCGGGUUGUAAACUGCUUUUGUACGGAACGAAAAGGCUCUCUCUAAUACCGGGGGGUCAUGACGGUACCGUAAGAAUAAGCACCGGCUAACUACGUGCCAGCAGCCGCGGUAAUACGUAGGGUGCAAGCGUUAAUCGGAAUUACUGGGCGUAAAGCGUGCGCAGGCGGUUUUGUAAGACAGAUGUGAAAUCCCCGGGCUCAACCUGGGAACUGCGUUUGUGACUGCAAAGCUGGAGUGCGGCAGAGGGGGAUGGAAUUCCGCGUGUAGCAGUGAAAUGCGUAGAUAUGCGGAGGAACACCGAUGGCGAAGGCAAUCCCCUGGGCCUGCACUGACGCUCAUGCACGAAAGCGUGGGGAGCAAACAGGAUUAGAUACCCUGGUAGUCCACGCCCUAAACGAUGUCAACUGGUUGUUGGGAAUUCACUUUCUCAGUAACGAAGCUAACGCGUGAAGUUGACCGCCUGGGGAGUACGGCCGCAAGGUUAAAACUCAAAGGAAUUGACGG